GAUGAACGCUGGCGGCGUGCCUAAUACAUGCAAGUCGAGCGAACAGAUGAGGAGCUUGCUCCUCUGACGUUAGCGGCGGACGGGUGAGUAACACGUGGAUAACCUACCUAUAAGACUGGGAUAACUUCGGGAAACCGGAGCUAAUACCGGAUAAUAUAUUGAACCGCAUGGUUCAAUAGUGAAAGACGGUUUUGCUGUCACUUAUAGAUGGAUCCGCGCCGCAUUAGCUAGUUGGUAAGGUAACGGCUUACCAAGGCAACGAUGCGUAGCCGACCUGAGGGGGUGAUCGGCCCCACUGGAACUGAGCAACGGCCCAGACCCCUACGGGAGGCAGAAGGAGGGAAUCUUCCGAAAUGGGCGAAAGCCUGACGGAGCAACGCCGGGUGAGUGAUGAAGGUCUUCGGAUCGUAAAACUCUGUUAUUAGGGAAGAACAAUGUGUAAGUAACUAUGCACGUCUUGACGGUACCUAAUCAGAAAGCCACGGCUAACUACGUG
This 496-nucleotide ribosomal RNA is filed under the name uncultured bacterium. RNAcentral describes it as "partial 16S ribosomal RNA". It matches the Rfam family "Bacterial small subunit ribosomal RNA", at positions 28 to 507 of the family's 1533-position model. The record is from RNAcentral.